CCACGACAAAAUUUAUGUUUGGAUAGGUUGGAUUAAGGACGUUUCCUUCACCUGCAAGAUAUUCUGAAUUUUUGCUUUAAGGAAGUGGAUCAAUGUUGCGACUUAUAGAUGUAAUCAACCAUGUAUCCUAAACCAGGAAGUCACGAAAUGCAGCGAACUGAUAUACAAAAAAGGAUUGCUGCCUUGGUAAGAGAGAGCAAAAACUUAAAUACAUCAAUCAGACAACUCAAGGAGAAACUUUCAGUAAGGCAUAAUUUACCACUCCAGCAGGCGGGAAGCGACGAUUUUGAUUCAAGAGCCUCUCAUAGUGUUUCAAAAAGGACUGAAAAUCCAAAACUCCUCAUGAAGAAGCUUAAAAUUUCUGAAUGGAUUAACAAAGUAGUUUACACAAAUGAUGAAAUAAAACUCUUGGAUGAUGGCUCAAGUCAGUACAUUGCUGAUGCUGUAACAGGACCAGUUACUUUCCAAGUUCAGUUUGUUGUAGAAGAUAUCAAGAAUAAAGAAAUGAUUCUUCAUUCAUUGAAAAUUAGGUAUAUUGAUCCUUUCCAUGAAGCUGAACUCAAGACUUUCAGUAACAGGUGUAUGAGGCAAAACAGUUUUCAGAAACUUAUCAGAGGUGUAGUAAGCUAUGGGGAAUUGUUUGCAAAUAGAGAAGAAACUACAGACUGGCUUACUGAAAAAAAUGGACAUUUUACUGUUAAUAAACACCAUGAAGAUGGAGCAUAUAAUAUCACUGCUAAGGCCGAAGGAAGAACAGUUUCAUAUUUCACUUGUGAAUGGAAAAUAAUUUGGAAUGAAGGAUCAUUAGCUAUGAUUCCAUCUUUUACUAUCCGAGCAAAUAAUAAAAGUAAUUUCUACAAAGAGAACGAGUACCACUUCGACAAAAUUGUCUCAUCUGGUAUUACACAAGAUGAGAUAAUAGAGUUAUGGAAGGAACUUGCAAAGGCUGUAAUAAUUGAAAAUGAGUUGGCAAGUCAUGUAAUUCAGAAAAAUGUGCCAUGAAUUAUUGCAAGUUAUUAUGAAGAUGUGUCAGUGCAAAUACAAACACUUUAAAAGACCACACAGUUUCAGAAUUGGAUACAUGUUUCAGGUGGAGGGUAACUCCAAAUAUAUUGAAUGACAAGUCAUAAGACAGCCAAGAAAAGAUGGUCCUACAGAUUUAAGGUUGCAUUUUAUAAAGCAUGGGAAAGAUUACUAAUGCAUACAAAAUUUUAGCAAGAAAGCUUGAAGGGAAGAGGCCACUAGGGUGAUGUAGGUACUACUUCAAUCAGAACAUAUACUUCACUUUACCUUUUAACAGAGUGCCUUUUAAAAACCAUUUCAUGUGAAAGUGCAAUUUACUGUAUAUAUCUAGCCAGCAGAGGAUGAUACAUGCGCAUCUUCUACAGCUCCCGCACUAAAGGAAGAAGUAUACAGUAUUCUGUUUUCACAUUAACUUCUUUUCUUGUGUGAUAUGAGAGGAGAAAGGGAAGGAAAUUUGGCCUGAUACACACUCCAAACGUAUGCCAGGUGUUUUGUGCAGAUUAUAAUGCUCGUUUAUUUCAAACAAGUAAAAAAAAAAGCACCUUUAAAACUCAUCUUUAUUACAAACUUAUAUAAAACUACUCUAACAGAACUUAGUACAAUGCACUUAAUUCAAGUAGAUCUUAAUCUGAGACUUCAUAGAAAGUGUCAUGUUUCUGUUCAAGAAUGUAAUACUAAGGCAUUGAACACAUUUUACACAAUAUGAAAUACAAUAAUGUCACUGAUCAGUUUAUGGAAUUUUGGCAUACGAUACUUAUCACAGACAUAAGAGUGUGCAUAUAUAUAUAUAUAUGACACACAAAAGAAUUGCCUAGAAAAAAAAUUCUCAUGACCAGAGACAAAAGAAUGCUUAAUGCUUUAAAUUUGUUUAAUUGAAACUAAAUUCAGUUUUGAAUACACUUUACAAAAAUUGUCAACUUCCUCAGAGUACUACUUUGGUGAACACUGUUUCUCUGUUUUUUCUUUUUAAUGUAGCUUUAUUCAUGUUCCAUUGAAAUAUAAAUUUCUGCUUCUCACAUAUCAACACAUUUUAGAUGCAUGUAAUAGCCACCACAUUCAUAUCUAUACAAUAAAGAGGUGGUAAGGCUGCAACUAAUCACAGGAACUUGAGAGACAUAUAUUUCCACUAAAUGUAAAAAAUGAUGUAAUGCAGAUGAAAGGAAGAUACUAAAAAAUAUGAAAAAUCUCAACAGACAAUGUUUUUGUAUUUGUGAGCACUAAAACUAAAAUAAGCAAGCAUUACACAAAAUAAAUGCAACAGCAGCCAUCUAAAAA
This is an RNA transcript of Cryptotermes secundus, 2298 nucleotides long. RefSeq lists it as uncharacterized. The record is from RefSeq and is a predicted model, not a curated record. Lineage: Eukaryota; Metazoa; Arthropoda; Insecta; Blattodea; Kalotermitidae. The transcript is spliced from 6 exons.